Vollenhovia emeryi is the source of this 879-nucleotide long non-coding RNA. RefSeq lists it as uncharacterized. The transcript is spliced from 5 exons. NCBI's taxonomy places the organism in Eukaryota, Metazoa, Arthropoda, Insecta, Hymenoptera, Formicidae. The record is from RefSeq and is a predicted model, not a curated record.
AAAUUAUAAAUCUUUGGAUAGCCAGAAAAUGGUCCGCAAUACCACGAAGGCUCGACCCAGACUAUAGCGUAACCGACCGAUAAGUAUGCGACACUAACGGAACGAUUCACAAAUAGCGCGCUUUACUUGUUGGAUAAGAAUUGGAAAAGUGUAACAUGGUUCCCGCAAAUGAUGGAUUUUAUUUCAAUAACCUGGAAGCUCUGAAAACUACUUCGUGAGCUAUCUUGAAGUCGCCGUAUUGCGGAAAUUGCUUCUCCAGAUCCCAGCACCAGCAGUUAUUCAUAAAUCGCACGAAAACAGCGCGAAAGAAAUCCAUACUGAGAGUGGCUAAUAUCUGAGCUUGGCGAGUUCUUGCCCGAACAUAGUUUCCCAGCAUGACCGACGCAGCUUUCUGCGUGUCUUCGGGUCUAGCUGUUCCAAAGACUUAGCUGAAAACAUAAACACAUUCACCUACAGUCAAAAACUGGAAAUAAAUGGUUUAUUCGAUUCUGAAGUGGGAAUGCCACUUUCCGGAAUAUACGUUGCAAUUGUUGUGGCCUCUUCCAUCGCAGACGUAACACUCACCUUUCUAUCAGAUGAUGCCUGGCUGUCUGAAGACGAUGGAGGAACUAUUAUUCUUUCGGUAAAAUUAUGAAAAUCGAUAGUUGUCGUUGAACACGCGACAUAUAAUAGAUUAUUGUCAACUCAAUUUCAGUUACAAUCAUUACUUAAUUAUGUUUAGCUUUAAAUAAUUAUACGUAGGUACAUUCCUGACAUUUCAAGAAAAUUGAAACUCUUUCAAACAAUUAUAUCAGUUAAUAAUAAUAUAGUUGUUGUAAUAAACACGAGUGAUUUUAUUGAUUAUUAAUUGGGUGUAAAGUAUAGACGCAAAAAAGUGCA